Molecule: ribosomal RNA, 237 nt
Filed under: uncultured bacterium
Lineage: Bacteria
Description: partial 16S ribosomal RNA
Rfam family: Bacterial small subunit ribosomal RNA
Source: RNAcentral
AUUGAACGCUGGCGGCAGGCUUAACACAUGCAAGUCGAACGGUAACAGGGGGUAGCUUGCUACUUUGCUGACGAGUGGCGGACGGGUGAGUAAGGUAUGGGAAUUUGCCGAAUGGAGGGGGACAACAGUUGGAAACGGCUGCUAAUACCGCAUAACGUCGCGAGACCAAAGGGUGGGACUUUCGGGCCACCUGCCAAUUUUAGAUGUAGCCCAUAUGAGAUUAGCUAGUUGGUGUGG